GAGUUUGAUCGUGGCUCAGGACGAACGCUGGCGGCGUGCCUAAUACAUGCAAGUCGAGCGGACCACAAAGAAGCUUGCUUCUGAGUGGUUAGCGGCGGACGGGUGAGUAACACGUGGGCAACCUGCCCUGCAGACUGGGAUAACUUCGGGAAACCGGAGCUAAUACCGGAUAACACUAAGAACCGCAUGGUUCUUGGUUGAAAGAUGGCUUCGGCUAUCACUGCAGGAUGGGCCCGCGGCGCAUUAGCUAGUUGGUGAGGUAACGGCUCACCAAGGCGACGAUGCGUAGCCGACCUGAGAGGGUGAUCGGCCACACUGGGACUGAGACACGGCCCAGACUCCUACGGGAGGCAGCAGUAGGGAAUCUUCCGCAAUGGACGAAAGUCUGACGGAGCGACGCCGCGUGAGCGAAGAAGGUCUUCGGAUCGUAAAGCUCUGUUGUUAGGGAAGAACAAGUACCG
This 461-nucleotide ribosomal RNA is filed under the name uncultured Bacillus sp. RNAcentral's name for it is "bacterial SSU rRNA". It matches the Rfam family "Bacterial small subunit ribosomal RNA", at positions 9 to 458 of the family's 1533-position model. Lineage: Bacteria; Bacillati; Bacillota; Bacilli; Caryophanales; Bacillaceae. The record is from RNAcentral.